Molecule: long non-coding RNA, 1289 nt
Organism: Oncorhynchus keta (chum salmon)
Lineage: Eukaryota; Metazoa; Chordata; Actinopteri; Salmoniformes; Salmonidae
Exons: 4
Source: RefSeq, a predicted model, not a curated record
ACACACACACACACACACACACACACACACACACACACACACACACACACACACACACACACACACACACACACCAAUAAGACAUCAUACAUACAAGUGUAAUCCAAAACGUAAAAUAAGUUACAAGCACAAUGUCUCUCAGUAGACAGGUACAGUAUAUCUAACAGGUGUUCUCUCUCAGUAGACAGGUACAGUAUAUCUAACAGGUGUUCUCUCUCAGUAGACAGGUACAGUAUAUCUAACAGGUGUUCUCUCUCAGUAGACAGGUACAGUAUAUCUAACAGGUGUUCUCUCUCAGUAGACAGGUACAGUAUAUCUAACAGGUGUUCUCUCUCAGUAGACAGGUACAGUAUAUCUAACAGGUGGUCUCUCUCAGUAGACAGGUACAGUAUAUCUAACAGGUGGUCUCUCUCAGUAGACAGGUACAGUAUAUCUAACAGGUGGUCUCUCUCAGUAGACAGGUACAGUAUAUCUAACAUGUGGUCUCUCUCAGUAGACAGGUAUAGUAUAUCUAACAGGUGUUCUCUCUCAGUAGACAGGUACAGUAUAUCUAACAGGUGGUCUCUCUCAGUAGACAGGUACAGUAUAUCUAACAGGUGGUCUCUCUCAGUAGACAGGUACAGUAUAUCUAACAGGUGGUCUCUCUCAGUAGACAGGUACAGUAUAUCUAACAGGUGGUCUCUCUCAGUAGACAGGUACAGUAUAUCUAACAGGUGGUCUCUCUCAGUAGACAGGUACAGUAUAUCUAACAGGUGUUCUCUCUCAGUAGACAGGUACAGUAUAUCUAACAGGUGUUCUCUCUCAGUAGACAGGUACAGUAUAUCUAACAGGUGUUCUCUCUCAGUAGACAGGUACAGUAUAUCUAACAGGUGUUCUCUCUCAGUAGACAGGUACAGUAUAUCUAACAGGUGGUCUCUCUCAGUAGACAGGUACAGUAUAUCUAACAGGUGUUCUCUCUCAGUAGACAGGUACAGUAUAUCUAACAGGUGGUCUCUCUCAGUAGACAGGUACAGUAUAUCUAACAGGUGGUCUCUCUCAGUAGACAGGUACAGUAUAUCUAACAGGUGUUCUCUCUCAGUAGACAGGUACAGUAUAUCUAACAGGUGUUCUCUCUCAGUAGACAGGUACAGUAUAUCUAACAGGUGUUCUCUCUCAGUAGACAGGUACAGUAUAUCUAACAGGUGUUCUCUCUCAGUAGACAGGUACAGUAUAUCUAACAGGUGUUCUCUCUCAGUAGACAGGUACAGUAUAUCUAACAGGUGGUCUCUCUCAGUAGACCAGUACAGUAU